This 253-nucleotide ribosomal RNA is filed under the name uncultured bacterium. RNAcentral describes it as "partial 16S ribosomal RNA". It matches the Rfam family "Bacterial small subunit ribosomal RNA", at positions 524 to 776 of the family's 1533-position model. The record is from RNAcentral.
UACGUAGGGUGCAAGCGUUGUCCGGAAUUAUUGGGCGUAAAGAGCUCGUAGGCGGUUUGUCGCGUCUGCUGUGAAAACUCGGGGCUUAACUCCGGGCCUGCAGUGGGUACGGGCAGACUAGAGUGCGGUAGGGGAGACUAGAAUUCCUGGUGUAGCGGUGAAAUGCGCAGAUAUCAGGAGGAACACCGGUGGCGAAGGCGGGUCUCUGGGCCGUAACUGACGCUGAGGAGCGAAAGCGUGGGGAGCGAACAGG